Zingiber officinale is the source of this 2398-nucleotide long non-coding RNA. RefSeq lists it as uncharacterized. Lineage: Eukaryota; Viridiplantae; Streptophyta; Magnoliopsida; Zingiberales; Zingiberaceae. The transcript has 3 exons. The record is from RefSeq and is a predicted model, not a curated record.
CACAAACUCUAUUCACCUCCUCUCUAUCGCUUUCGAUUCUCCAUUCGCCAGCCGGUGGCCUCCACCUCCUUUAUCACCGCCGCUGACCAACCCUUCCUCUUCACCACCUUCCCUUGCCAACCACAGCCUCUCCUCCACUCCUCACACGCGGAUGCUGUUGACUUCUUCAUUUUCAUCCACCUCCUCCCAGGUUAGAAGGGAAGAGAGCAAGGGGUCUCCUCUUCGGGUUAGAAGAGGAGCUUCUUUUGACCAUUCACAACCCUUCAUCGUCAUCCAACAGCCCUCUUCCCUCUCCUCUUCCGGUUAGAAGAGGGGAGGACAGCUUCUGUCACUUCUGGUUAGAAAAGGAGGAGAGUUUGUCCUUCUCCAACAGCCCUCUUCUCUUUGGGUUCUUCAUCCGAUUUCCAUCCACAUUUGCUCAUUCCAUCCGAUGAUCAGGGAGAAGCUUCUUUCAUCCGCGAGUUUGGGUGAUGUGUUUUUGGGUUAUCUUUUUUGUGCUGGGUUGUUUAUUCAUGUUGAUUAUUGAAUUGUGUUUGAGUUGAAUUGUAGUGAAGUAUUAAUUCCCCAUGUUAAGAUUGCACGUACUUAGUUUACUUUGAUUCAUGCAUGUUAAGUGUUCGAUGAAUUUCCCCAAUGACUUGUGUUUCUUUUGUUGCUAUUAGGUUAGUUUAUUCCUUGUCUUGUCUCUUUCAAUUGCUUUAAGUUCUUGAUUUUAUUUGGAUGCAAUUAGAUUACAUUAGUGUAAGUUUCGUUAAUGCUUUAUUUUAUGUUUCUUUUAAUUCUCUUUCAAGUGUUGUUUAGUUAGGUUAGAUUUUAUUAAUUGCAUUGUCUUUCAUUUAUUAGGGUUAGUUUCAUACUUGCAUUGUUUUUCAUUUCUCACUGAUUAUGUGGUUUGUAUAGUUGUCAUUAGUUUGUGCAUAGUUGCCAUAGUGGCGAAGAACAUGCUUGCCAAUGAAGGCUUUGGCUCAUUUUGCAAUGUUUGCUUCUCAUCUCUUUUGGUGGAAGGUGUUGCCAAGAUAGGCAGGAUUGCCAACCAGGCUACAUCAGUUGUGGUCCAGUGUUCCGUUUAUUACUUCUGGCAUCAUAUUCACUUGUGGAAUUAUUUAUCUGGUCUACUUGUUGGUUGGUUAUGACUCCUUUAGUCAGAUAUGCUUCUCACCUAUAGAAAUACACUGCAUAAAAGAUAAUAUAAUGACUUACUCUAAGAUUCUUACAUCUGCUAAAGAUACAUUGCUAUAAUUUAAUAUCUACUAGAUAACGUCUAAACACUAAGGAUAUGUCACUAGUACUUUGAAAUAUUGUAUUUUUGCUCCAACUUUAUCAAUGGCCUGUCAUCUUACUAGUUAAGUUGUUUUCAUAAAAUAUAAAUUUCAUUUUAGCUCUUAAAUCCCUAACAUUUUUACUUAUAUAUCUUGCAGUUUAGAGGAUGUAUACAUCUGUUCUUUUUCAUGGUCUUUGCUCCAUGUUCUAUUCAAUAUGUUAGCUUUGGUAGCCUUGGGCACUGAAUUGGAAAGAAUAAUGGGCUCUAUUUGACUUCUAUAUUUGAUGCUCCUGCUUGCAACUACCAAUUCUAUAUUUCAUCUAAUAAUUGCCUUACUAGUGGCAAACAAUCCCUUUCAUGCUUUUCCAUUCCUAGUGACUAAAAAAGCCAUUGGUUUCUCUAGGAUCCUAUAUGCAACGAUUAUCAUAGAAACUAGUUUGAGUGGCAUUCAACUAGAAUGUUAGCUGAACUAUAUUGCUUGUGUAUAUGGUUCAUUGAUAUACUGAAUAUUCCUAUUUUUCUUCUAUCAGUUUCUUUGAGGGUAGCUAAACUCCUAAAUAACCUGAUAAUUCAUGCUGCUAAUGAUAAUUUUUUUUAAGUUGACUUCAUUGUCAUUUUUUAGUGUUUUUAGACUCUUCAAUGUUCCUACUAAAUGGUAUAUGCCUUUCUUGCUAUAUUAAGUUAUUUUACUUAUUUUCAGCUACAUAUGUAUUAGAAACAAAAUUUGAUAUAGACCCUUCACUGUGGGAAUUGUAUGUUUCAGGUAUUCAUGGAUCUUGUUGAUACUCUUCCAAUUUCUAGCCUCUAAUGUUUCAUUUCUUGGACACUUGUGUGGCAUUCUCUCUAGGUUUGCAUGUUAGCCUCUAAUGUUUCAUUUAUCUUGUCCCAAGUUUGGAUAAAGGAGGAGGGUUGCGUUAGGUUACUAACCAGCGUUAAAAAUAUGACAAAUAUUCAAUAAAUUGAUCUAUUAAACUAUUAUUCUAAUGCUAGGUUGUUCCCCGGAAGGAACACAUUGCUAGGUUCGACGAUAACGUCUUGGCAAGGACCGCUACAUACCAGAACUCGAGUGUAGUGUUAAAUAUGCAAGAGUUCACGUUACAUGGUCCGACUGUAACGUCUCAGCAAAGACUACUACAU